Molecule: transfer RNA, 86 nt
Filed under: Mycolicibacterium chubuense
Lineage: Bacteria; Bacillati; Actinomycetota; Actinomycetes; Mycobacteriales; Mycobacteriaceae
Description: tRNA-Val(gac)
Source: RNAcentral
UCGGCGGUGGCGGGGCAACCGCGCCGAACAGUUGACGGCUGUCAAUUUUGUUCACGGAUGUGCCCGUCCGGUCGGGCCCGCUGCUC